CUUAGCGACCUUUUCCCGAAUCUUCUCUCCCUAUUUCGACCUUAACCUUCUUAUUUUUUGCUUAAUCGGCUUGAUGUGUGGAUAAGUCAUGAUCUGGUGCUCCACUAUUUUUUUGUCUAAUUCUCACAUGUCAUCGUAAGAUAAGUAAAAACUACUUUUUUUUUUUAUUAAUUUUUUCAAUUCUCUUCUCUCCUCAAAAGUUAUACCAUGAGCUAUCAGAAUUUUCAUGAGAUUUUCAACUGUGCCUAGAUUAAAUAAAUCAAUUUUGUAAUACCUAUAAAUUUUAAAAAUAAUAAUAAUAAUAAUAAAUAAUAAUAAAAUAAAAUAUAAUAAUAAUAAUAAUAAUAAUAAUAAUAUUUUCCUUUCCUUUUUCUUUCCUUUCUUCCCCCUCCCUCUCCUUUCCUUUUUUCCUUCCUCUCAUUCCUCUUCUCUCCUCGCCGACUGCUGCUUCCCCUCCCUGCCUAUGCUGAGCUGUCGCCACCACCACCAGCGCCUCUCCCUUCCUUUCGCUGCCGUGUCGUGCUUCCUCUCCUUUUUCCCCUCUGCAGCGACGUCUUCAAAGGAAGAAGAGCUGUUGUCACCAUCUACCGCAGUCCUUUCGACCAUCCGACGCUGGAAUCGAGCUCCCCACCAUCGAAAACCUCUAGGUCGUGCUCCCCCGCAGUGAAAUCCUCGCCGGUAGACUCACUCAAGCCUCACCGGAGCAGCACCUUUUCAGCCACAAUCUGGUGCCUUCCGACGAGUUUCCGACCGAAACUCUUGUGUUUUCGGACUCCCCACAACUCGAGCUUCGUGUAGGUGCUUCCGGAUUCGAAUUCUGACACUGUUGGCAGGACCGGCUUUCGGACCCCAGUACUUUUCGGACGCGCGAAAUUUUAAAAUUUCAGCUCGGAAAAAUAAUACAGUUUUGGUGGUCCGACUCCCGUUAAUUAAUAGCAGAAUAUUUGAAGUGUUUCUAGCAGCUUUUGGACCCGUUGUACAUGAGAUAAUUCGUCCAUCCCGCCAGCUUCACCCGAAGCUAGGAGCGAAUUGCGGAGCGCGACAAAACUGUGACAAUUAGAGUUCUUCGUUGUCCUGCAUUUUGAUAGCCUGACUUCUUUCUUCAUCGGGAUUAUUGUAAAUAAUCUAUACUUUCAUAUUUUUAGUUAUUUUAUAUUAUAGACCUUCAGCAGUAGUAUUUUUUAUUUGUUAUGAUUAUUCUGGUCCAUAAUGGGCGUGAAAUGUUAUCAAAGACCAGUUAGAUUUGUGUAUGGCAUGUCAGACAUGAUUAAUAUUAUAUUUUUCAUAUGCA
Ricinus communis (castor bean) is the source of this 1291-nucleotide long non-coding RNA. RefSeq lists it as uncharacterized. The record is from RefSeq and is a predicted model, not a curated record. Lineage: Eukaryota; Viridiplantae; Streptophyta; Magnoliopsida; Malpighiales; Euphorbiaceae. The transcript is spliced from 4 exons.